Molecule: non-coding RNA, 85 nt
Organism: Blastosporella zonata
Lineage: Eukaryota; Fungi; Basidiomycota; Agaricomycetes; Agaricales; Lyophyllaceae
Source: the annotation of a GenBank genome assembly
GCCCCCGUUGUCUAAUGGUUAUGACGUCAGACUUCUACACUUUGGUGUUAUCUGGAGGUUGCGGGUUCGAGUCCCGCCGGGGGUU